CCCGGUGGCUAUGGCGAGGGGUCCAAACCCGAUCCCAUCCCGAACUCGGUCGUUAAAACCCUCAGCGCCGAUGGUACUGCGUCGGAAGGACGUGGGAGAGUAGGUCGCCGCCGGGC
RNAcentral lists this ribosomal RNA (116 nucleotides) under Thermopetrobacter sp. Lineage: Bacteria; Pseudomonadati; Pseudomonadota; Alphaproteobacteria. The record is from RNAcentral.